UCUCUCAUACGCUGCAUGUAGAUGCUUCUGUGUCCUAUCAUUUGCAGGCAGGGCUACUCUCCUUCUUCUAGUCUUUCCGCUCCUCUCAUUUUUCCUUCAGUUUGAAACACACUCCGGAGCCUCACUGCCCAAGUUUGGUCCCAGGACCAGCAGCAUCAGCCUCCCGUGGGAGGAGCCUUGGAGGUGCUCCAUCACUAAUCCAAGCGAGAGAUGACGGGAGAGUCAGACAAGAUGGAAGCUCCCAAGGUAGAGAAAAGAAGUUGGAUUCGGGAAAAUAAUUUGAAAGUAGAGUCAACAGGACAUCCUGACCAGUUGUACGUGGACUGUGAGAGUACCAGUGAGUGAAAGCUGUCUCCAAGAAAAAUGCAGUUGCUAAGAAUCUGCUCUGUGGCUGCUCAAGCUUGGCAUGGGAAAUUCUCUUCUGGAAUGGAAUUGGCAUGGAGAUGGCGGUGGCCUCUUAGGUCCUUCUCCCACUCACGGUGUGGGAGAAUUCCCAGAAGGAAAACGAAUGGCUGAGCGAAGGGCAAAGGCCUACGGGAGGGAACCUGAGGAAGGCAGGAUGUGGAAGAACCAAGUGGCGUUGAGCAGGAACAGCUGCCAGUUUUCGUGUUGUCGGCAGUCUUCGAGCGUGAUUCCGAGUGUGAUCUACCACUGGCCAUUUUCCAGAAAUUUUGAAUAAAUGAAAAAUGCUGGGCAAAA
This is a long non-coding RNA of Mustela erminea (ermine), 699 nucleotides long. RefSeq lists it as uncharacterized. NCBI's taxonomy places the organism in Eukaryota, Metazoa, Chordata, Mammalia, Carnivora, Mustelidae. The record is from RefSeq and is a predicted model, not a curated record. The transcript has 3 exons.